This 253-nucleotide ribosomal RNA is filed under the name uncultured bacterium. RNAcentral's name for it is "partial 16S ribosomal RNA". It matches the Rfam family "Bacterial small subunit ribosomal RNA", at positions 524 to 776 of the family's 1533-position model. The record is from RNAcentral.
AACGUAGGAGGCGAGCGUUAUCCGGAUUUACUGGGCGUAAAGCGUGUGUAGGCGGUUUGAUAAGUUGGAUGUGAAAGCUCCUGGCUCAACUGGGAGAGGUCGUUCAAAACUAUCAGACUUGAGAGUGGUAGAGGGAGGUGGAAUUCCGCGUGUAGUGGUGAAAUGCGUAGAUAUGCGGAGGAACACCAGUGGCGAAAGCGGCCUCCUGGCCCAUUUCUGACGCUCAGACACGAAAGCUAAGGUAGCAAACGGG